AUUGAACGCUGGCGGCAGGCUCAACACAUGCAAGUCGAGCGGGGUGAUGGUGCUUGCACUAUCACUUAGCGGCGGACGGGUGAGUAAUGCUUAGGAAUCUGCCUAUUAGUGGGGGACAACAUCUCGAAAGAGAUGCUAAUACCGCAUACGUCCUACGGGAGAAAGCAGGGGAUCACUUGUGACCUUGCGCUAAUAGAUGAGCCUAAGUCGGAUUAGCUAGUUGGUGGGGUAAAGGCCUACCAAGGCGACGAUCUGUAGCGGGUCUGAGAGGAUGAUCCGCCACACUGGGACUGAGACACGGCCCAGACUCCUACGGGAGGCAGCAGUGGGGAAUAUUGGACAAUGGGGGGAACCCUGAUCCAGCCAUGCCGCGUGUGUGAAGAAGGCCUUAUGGCUGUAAAGCACUUUAAGCGAGGAGGAGGCUCUUUUGGUUAAUACCCAAGAUGAGUGGACGUUACUCGCAGAAUAAGCACCGGCUAACUCUGUGCCAGCCGCCGCCGUAA
RNAcentral lists this ribosomal RNA (503 nucleotides) under uncultured bacterium. Its description in RNAcentral is "partial 16S ribosomal RNA". It matches the Rfam family "Bacterial small subunit ribosomal RNA", at positions 30 to 523 of the family's 1533-position model. The record is from RNAcentral.